This 468-nucleotide ribosomal RNA is filed under the name uncultured bacterium. RNAcentral describes it as "partial 16S ribosomal RNA". It matches the Rfam family "Bacterial small subunit ribosomal RNA", at positions 28 to 507 of the family's 1533-position model. The record is from RNAcentral.
GACGAACGCUGGCGGCGUGCUUAACACAUGCAAGUCGAACGGAAAGGCCCUGCUUUUGUGGGGUGCUCGAGUGGCGAACGGGUGAGUAACACGUGAGUAACCUGCCCUUGACUUUGGGAUAACUUCAGGAAACUGGGGCUAAUACCGGAUAGGAGCUCCUGCUGCAUGGUGGGGGUUGGAAAGUUUCGGCGGUUGGGGAUGGACUCGCGGCUUAUCAGCUUGUUGGUGGGGUAGUUGCUUACCAAGGCUUUGACGGGUAGCCGGCCUGAGAGGGUGACCGGGCCCAGUGGGACUUGGAAACGGGCCAGAAUCCAACGGGAGGCAGCAGGGGGGAAUAUUUGACAAUGGGCGGAAGCCUGAUGCAGCCACGCCGCGGGCGGGAUGACGGCCUUCGGGUUGUAAACCGCUUUCGCCUGUGACGAAGCGUGAGUGACGGUAAUGGGUAAAGAAGCACCGGCUAACUACGUG